UGCUGUUUCCCCUGGGGGGAUUUUGUCUUGAAAACAAACUAGAAGUGUUCGAAUCACUUAACAGCUU
RNAcentral lists this transfer RNA (67 nucleotides) under Koreoleptoxis nodifila. RNAcentral describes it as "tRNA-Ser". The record is from RNAcentral. Lineage: Eukaryota; Metazoa; Mollusca; Gastropoda; Pleuroceridae.